ACUCCAUGAAGAAUGGCUUAAAUUUUGCUCUCUAGAAAACAUGCAGUUAAAAUUUAUUGUGAAAAAAACACAUGUGGGACAACAAGCUUGCUAACAGUUGAAUGUAUAUGUCUCCCCCGGAUACAUGUGUUAAAGUCCAAAAAUCCCCAAUGUGGUGUUAUUUAGGGAUGGGGCCUUUGGGAGGUAAUUAGGGUUCAAGUUAGUCAUGAGGUCAGGAUCGUCACAAUGGGUUUAGCACUUUAUAAGGAGACACUAGAAAGCUUGCCCUCUCUUUCUCUCCACCAUGUGAGGACAUGGUGAGAAGACAGCCAUCUCCAAGCCAGAAAGAGCCCUCACCAGAACACAACCAUGUGGACACCCUGAUCUCAUAGUCCCAGCCUACGAAACUGUGAGAAAAUACAUUUCUCUUGUUUAAUCUAUGACAAUUCAUUAUGGUAGCCUGAGGUGACUAAUAUAGAACUAAUGGGGAAAAAAUUAACAGAUGUCAUUUAUAAGCAACAUCUGUAGUAAUGAGAUUGUAUCUGUGACUUCUGGUUUUCAUCCAUGACUGGGCUCUGAGAGUGUCUGACGAUUACUCUGUGACUGCUUGUCCUUCACACACUCCUGAAUGGUGAUGCAUUUUCCCCACAGUGACAAUUGCUGAAAGGAAACAUUCUAAAUGUUGGUGACUCAGGCAAUCACUUACAGUGUGUAUUUCCCAUCUGUCUUGUAUAUUAGAACAAAUUGUGUCUCCAGAACUCAAAUCGUGCCUCUAGAAAGAGCUAUAUUAGCUGUUUCCCUUUGACUGGAAGGUAGGUGCGACCAUGCUUCAGGAAUUGUGGCCAAAUGAUGAUAUGAAUGAGACUGGAUUCUCCAGUAGAAAAUGGACUUGGCCUCAAGAGUCUUGCUCUGUCACCCAAGCUGGAGUGCAAUGGUGUGAUCUCGGCUCACUGCAACCUCUGCCUCCCAGGUUAGAGCGAGUCUUCUGUUUCAGCCUCUGGAGUAGCUGGGAUUAUGGGACAGGAAAUAGACGAAACCACCCAACUGAGCUCAAGUCCAAGACAGCCAAUAAUAUCACACACAGAGUUAUCCCAUCCAUCCCAAGGAGAGAAUGCCAAUCUGUGAGUGUCUUCUCUUGGACCUAGAAUUAAAGAGCAGGUAGUUGGUUCCUUUUCUUUUUUUGUUCUCCAAAACCAAAUAAAUAAACUUGCUUUUAUUGUUUGUAGGGGCCUGCUAUAAAGAAACUUCAGUUUGGCAGAAGUCUGGUUACAGGAGUGUGUAGUAAAGAUGCCUAAUGCGGUAGAAGCCUGUGUGCGGAUGGACCAGGAAGAAUUAAAUAGAGCUGCCAUAAAACACUCUUCCUAGCCAGAGGUCAAGUAUAUAACAAUUCACAUGAGGAACUUGUACUUUAUGACAAAGACAAAAGAAACUGCUACCGCAAACAAAUUUGCUUAUGUAAGCUUGCUGGGUCUGACAGCAAAAACUAAAACAUAGGCAUGUUAUCAUUUAGAAAUGUUCAUAGGAUCACCUAAUAAAAGUUACAGUUAUAGAGCAUUUAUUAUAUAAUACUGACAGCACUAAAUAGGAAAAGCAAUAAAUAGAAUAGGGACAAAAUGAUAUCCAGAG
RNAcentral lists this long non-coding RNA (1605 nucleotides) under Callithrix jacchus (white-tufted-ear marmoset). Its description in RNAcentral is "lncRNA (ENSCJAG00000070876.1)". The record is from RNAcentral. Lineage: Eukaryota; Metazoa; Chordata; Mammalia; Primates; Cebidae.